Molecule: ribosomal RNA, 792 nt
Filed under: Bacillus sp. NCCP-1239
Lineage: Bacteria; Bacillati; Bacillota; Bacilli; Caryophanales; Bacillaceae
Description: bacterial SSU rRNA
Rfam family: Bacterial small subunit ribosomal RNA
Source: RNAcentral
CGGACAGAUGGGAGCUUGCUCCCUGAUGUUAGCGGCGGACGGGUGAGUAACACGUGGGUAACCUGCCUGUAAGACUGGGAUAACUCCGGGAAACCGGGGCUAAUACCGGAUGGUUGUUUGAACCGCAUGGUUCAAACAUAAAAGGUGGCUUCGGCUACCACUUACAGAUGGACCCGCGGCGCAUUAGCUAGUUGGUGAGGUAACGGCUCACCAAGGCAACGAUGCGUAGCCGACCUGAGAGGGUGAUCGGCCACACUGGGACUGAGACACGGCCCAGACUCCUACGGGAGGCAGCAGUAGGGAAUCUUCCGCAAUGGACGAAAGUCUGACGGAGCAACGCCGCGUGAGUGAUGAAGGUUUUCGGAUCGUAAAGCUCUGUUGUUAGGGAAGAACAAGUACCGUUCGAAUAGGGCGGUACCUUGACGGUACCUAACCAGAAAGCCACGGCUAACUACGUGCCAGCAGCCGCGGUAAUACGUAGGUGGCAAGCGUUGUCCGGAAUUAUUGGGCGUAAAGGGCUCGCAGGCGGUUUCUUAAGUCUGAUGUGAAAGCCCCCGGCUCAACCGGGGAGGGUCAUUGGAAACUGGGGAACUUGAGUGCAGAAGAGGAGAGUGGAAUUCCACGUGUAGCGGUGAAAUGCGUAGAGAUGUGGAGGAACACCAGUGGCGAAGGCGACUCUCUGGUCUGUAACUGACGCUGAGGAGCGAAAGCGUGGGGAGCGAACAGGAUUAGAUACCCUGGUAGUCCACGCCCGUAAACGAUGAGUGCUAAGUGUUAGGGGUUUCCGCCCCU